CACGAAAAAGCCAAAAAAAUAGUGUUAGAUCAUCCUAUCUAAACCCAUCUAGGCCUUUUUGCAAAUUUUCUCUUCAGUGUUUUGUUUUGUUAAAUUUGCGAUUGCUUCAUCGUGUCAAGUUGCUGGUCGUCAUGUUGCCGCCGCACAAAUGUUACCUCCACUGCCAUAUACCUCCACCACAUAUCCGUCGUCCCAUAAAACCACCAUAUAUCUGUCGCCCGUUCCAUAAAACCACCACAUAUCCGCUGCCAUAACACCAUACAUUUCUGAUAAGAGAACAAGUCAACCUUUUCAUGGGCAUCAUACUUGCAUUUGAAGUGGUCAACAUACUCCACCACUCCAUCCCAAAAUACGGUUGAACACAUGUCAAGACCCCGACUCAAUGCCACAUCGAUCUAGCAUGUAACACCUCAUAUCACUUUGCGGCCUCACGCACGGUAUUCCCACGGGUGUCGCCCUACCUUUACCCGGGACCGUUUGCGCCUUUUGGCACACGUAUAUGACAGUGUCGCUAGCAUCUAUAUGAUAAGGAGCCCGGGCUGACAUGGCUAGUCGUAAACCCAAAGUGGCACAAACUUACAGGGACAGGCAUCCAUGACCCAGCAUCGAACGUGUCGGUCAUCAGCGAGUGAAUUCAGGCUGUAGCACUGGGCUAGCAGGACUCCGGUGAACCGGGCUGUAGCGGGCUAACAGGACUCCGGUAUUCAUCGCGUGACAUUUCCCCGAAGGGACAGACACAGGAACGAAGAAGGACACAUGCCGGCCAGCCUAAGUGUUCCGGAGCAGUAGCAAGCUACCAUUGGAAACACUAGGAGACAUUUCCCGGUAAGAGAGGCUACUAAGGAUAAACAACUAGAUAGUCAGAUCCCACACAUACCAAGCAUUUCAAUAACAUACACACAAUAUGCUCGAUAUGUGCAAACACAACAUGGCAUCACAACAUGACUCUACAACUCAAGUAUUUAUUCAUUAGGCUCCGAGGAGCGAGAUAUUACAAACAUAGGUCUCAUGACCCAACAUUCAGAGCAUACAAGUCAAAGCACAAGCGGAAGCUAUCAUGUCUGAGUACAGACAACUAUAAAUGAAAAAGGCUGAGAAGCCUGACUAUCUACCAGAUACUGCCGAGGGCACAAGAUCGUAGCUGAGGUAACAAGCUAAACGUCGAAGUCCAAGCGGAACUACUAGUGAGACUGAAGUCUCUCUGCAAAAACAUAAAAUAGGCAAACGUGAGUACAAAUGUACCCAGCAAGACUUACAUCAGAACUAACUACAUAUGCAUCAUUAUCAACAAAGGGGUGGUGGGGUUUAACUGCAGCAAGCCAGCUUUGACUCAGUGGCUAUCCUAAACUACGACUGCAAGCGACUCUUUUGAGGUGACGCACACGAGUCCACAUAUUCACCAUAUCAAUACACCACUAUGGAUCCGCUCCCGUCUCCCUACGAGAACGCCAUCCAUAGCACUCACGCUUAUCUUGCGUAUUUUAGAGUAUCCACUUUCACUUUGUCUAUGAACUGAUAUAAGCAAUCCAGAAGUCCUUUUCCGCGGACACGGCUAUUCGAAUAGAUUAGGUUAACCCUGCAGGGGUGUACUUCUUCAUACACGCUCUCACCACUUACCGUCGUUUACACGACAUGUACUCGGCAACCUUCAAACGGAAGCCCAACGUGGGUGUCGGCCACGACCUACCUAAUCACCUAAGUCUCUAGUCCAGGUUUAUCGCCUAUUCGGGUUCCAUCCAUGAGGAGAUCCGGCCGGAGUUUCGCUCACAGCCCCAAACGAUGUGAACAGGGUUCCCGAGACACCAAACGGGCGCCUGGUACACCGUGCCACGUGCCUACCGCAUCACAGCCCACCCCUACGGUCAGCGCUGCCCACGGCCUCCAGCAUACUACAAACACCAGAAACUACUUGCAACUCCUGGACAGAGGACAAGGGUGAUCAAGAAGCCGAGAGGGUCCAUUGGUUUCGAGCCCAAUGCGUGGUAGUAGCUGAAUCAUGGAUCACAAACACAGAACUCAGUUCCUGAGGACGGCUGCAAUGAGACAACCCACCAUGUACUCCUACAUGGCCUCUCACCGCUACCUUUACCAAAACGUGUUCACACACUUAGCUCACACACAGUAGGACAUGUUCACACGCCUCUGAUUCAUCCCCGAUGAAUCAGACCUGACUCAACUCUAAGCAGUAGCAGGCAUGACAAACAAGCAAGAAUGAGUAGGCACAACAGGGCUCAAACAACUCCUACCCAUGCUAGUGGGUUUCAUCUAUUUAGUGUGGAAUGACAGGUCAUGCAAAGGAUAAAGGGGUUCAGCUACCGCAGCAAGUAACAGAUGAAUCGUUGUUGUCCUAAUGCAGUAAAAGAGAGCAGGAGCGAGAGAGUGGGAUUGUAUCGGAAUGAACAAGGGGGUUUUGCUUGCCUGGCACUUCUGAAGAUAACAUUGAGUCUUCAUCAGUGUCAACGAUCACAACGUCGGAACAUUGUCUACCGGGAGGGAACAGAUACCGGCAACAAAGAAGAACACAAUCAAUGCAAUGCACAAAAUGAUGCAUGCUAUGACAUGGCAAUAUGAAUGUGCUUUGAGCUAAUGCAACUAGCAACAGAUUAAAUGAAGUUGGUUUGAAUACAAGAUUCAAAUUCAAACUCCAUAUGUGAUUAUUCAAAUGCCAUUUAAUUGAUUUGUGCUAUACAGCAGCUAUAAGUUGUUCUAACAUGCAUAAAAAUGGUGCAGAUGGAUUCCUUGAAUUUUUCUGAUAAUUUUUCAUAUAUAAAUUAUUUAAUUUGGAGUUACGGUUGAAUUACUAUGAAUUUUUGAAGUUUUGAACAUUUUCUGGAAUUUCCUGAAUAUUUAGAAUUAAAAUAAUUCCAGAAAAUGAUUUAACUGCGUCAGCCUGACGCCAGCAUGACGUCAGCGAGUCAAUGGCCAGGUCCAGGUCAAACCUGACGUGUGGGGUCCACACGUCAGUGACACAGGAACUAAUCCCGGUCAAACCCAGCGCUGACUGGGGUUUGACCAGGGGUGGGGCCUACUGUCAGUGGCUAUAGGUGGUUUAGUUAGUUGGAUUAGCUCCUAAUGACGGAGCCACGUCAGCUCCCGCCGGAGUUUCGCCGGCGACGACCAUGGCCGACGACGGAGAUGCAACGUUUGCUCGCUACGGAGCACCAUUCGACGCGUGGUUUGCUCCUACGGGUAGCUGAAGAUGCGCCGCAUCCAACUGGGCGAGCGGCAGCGGCUGUGGUGGCCGGAGCUCGCCGGAAACGAGCUCGCGGCGGCGCCGGAGUUCGGGCGCCGAUCGAUUCGACGCUAUGGUGCGCUACGGGAGAAACUGGUGGGUGCUGCGGGCUCCUGAGGUUGCGGUGAGCACGACGGUGGGCUCGGGAGCGAGCUGCGGUGGCUGUGGCCACGGCCACGCCAUGGCCGGCGGCGAGAAGCUCUCGGCCGCGGUGGUAACGGCGGCUACGGAGGGAAAUAGAGCACGGGGAGAGAGGGGUUCGGCAGAGGAGCUCACGGCGAGGUCGACGAGCAGCUCGGUGGGCUCGGUGAGGUGGCGGAGACGGCGAAUCGACGAGCGGCAUCCGGCGGCCGUGUGUGAAGAAGACGGCUCGAUGACGGCGAUGCAGGGCGUCCGAGGUCGCUUGACUCGUCGGAGAGGAUGAGGGCGAGGUAGCCGAGCUACUGGGCACGCCGAGGGUCGAGGGGGAGGCUCUGGGUGCGGCAACGGCGAGCGGCGGCGAUGAGCUCCGCUCGGGCUGCGCGAGAGAGAGAGCAGAGGAGGGGGAAGGGGUCGAGAGAGAGUGCGAGGGGGUUCCAGGGGGUGGCGUGGAGCUGCGGGAGACGUCCAGGAGAGGAGGAGGCAGCCAGGCAGGGAGGAGGUGGCCGGGGCGCGUGGCCGCGCGCGCCACCGAGCAGCUUCGGGGCGAGGGGGAGGAAGACGACAGGGGGAGAAGCGGCGGUGGGCUGGGCCAGCUGGAGGAGCUGGGCUAGGUGGGGCUGAGGUGAGCGCCAGGUAGUCCUCUGCUCUUUCUAUUUUUGUUUUUAUUUAUCUAUUUUGUUCUGUGUUGUUUUAGUUUAGUAAUAUACUAAACCAUUUUAUAAAAUCCUGAAAAUAGUUAUGUGGCUAGAACUAAAAUAUACCAAACCACAUAAAAUGUUCCAGUAAUUAUUGGACAUAUAUUAUUUAUAUAUCAAAUAUAUAUCCAAUGCAAAUAGCUAUUUAUUUAAUUCAAAGGCCCAAAAUAAUUAACUCUGAGAUACCAAAAAUAUUGUUUUGAGUUUUACCUCUUUGCAAUAUUUUCAAAGACUAAGAGAAACAUUUUCUUGGACUUCUUUGAGGAGAUUUUAAUGUUGAUCAUUUUUAAAAGGUUUCUGAGGCUUUGAAAAUUCCUCAAUUCAAAUUUCAUUUGAAUUAAAACAUGAUGCUCACAUGAGGUCUAGCCUAGUGCAUAACAGGACCAGGGAUGUGACAACACAUGCCUCCCCCAUCCGGAAGUGUCAUCAAAAAAGCUUAGGACGGAAUAGCGAGUCAUUGAGCUAGAAAUAAUAGUUGUAGAGUAGGCAAUGGUUGUUUUCUUUAUUACGAUUCAACGCCGGAGCAUGGCCCGGGAACGACCCCCUAAACAUUGGCCGCUGCCUAGCAAUGUGCUCAUUGACGACCAAAGUAGCUAACACAACAUCACUAUAAUCGUCAGACGAUUCUUCAAACAAAUAUCAACAUAUGAAGUUAUUUAGAAAAAACUCAUCCAAGUUGUCCAGUGAUGAAACAGUACAUCAAUGGAUUGAGGCGGGCAUGGACAAGUAUCAGCCGAGUCGGGCAAACAGCCGAACUCCUUGCAGGAGGGUGGGUGGCGAGUCGCGAUCGAUGAAUGGAGUCCAUGGAGACGGAGGCAAAGGUUGUCGAACCUUGUGUCCUCCGACGAUGACCUUAGAGGUAGUGGUGGGCUGUCAUCGACCCUAGGAUAGGCAGGCCAUGGAAGAAGCGGCCAGAACGAUGGCAAAAAGGGCGUCGACGGAAGAGGCGGCAGCAGGGGUGGGGCGAUGGCGUAGAGGCCAAAAGUGGGAUUGCGGCAGCGAUGGCGAUGGCAAAGAGGAUGGGGUGGUAGUUGGGGGAUGAAUGGUCUAUGUGCCAUAGACGGGCCGGGCACCGCGGGUGCACUGUUCACUUUCCGUAAUAUUACACUUGUAUAUGCAAACCUCCUAUCAAACGCUUCAGUUUAACUUCAACUGGCGACAAGGAGGAAAAUACGUAACAUACUAGUCCUUUCAAUUUCCACACAAAGUGUAUGCACAUGCAAUGCAUUCAUAUUUCUUAUUGUUGCUCACCUUCUCUGCGCAAUAAAUAUCCAAACUAAAAAUCCCAUCUUUUCUUCACCCGGAACACU
RNAcentral lists this long non-coding RNA (5378 nucleotides) under Triticum aestivum (bread wheat). Its description in RNAcentral is "long non-coding RNA (TAES_LNC007018)". The record is from RNAcentral. Lineage: Eukaryota; Viridiplantae; Streptophyta; Magnoliopsida; Poales; Poaceae.